RNAcentral lists this transfer RNA (74 nucleotides) under Microcaldota archaeon. RNAcentral describes it as "tRNA-Gly". It matches the Rfam family "tRNA". From Rfam's summary of the family: Transfer RNA (tRNA) molecules are approximately 80 nucleotides in length. RNAcentral also lists the same sequence under 1 other name. Lineage: Archaea; Nanobdellati; Microcaldota. The record is from RNAcentral.
GCGGUUGUAGUCUAAUCUGGUUAGGACCUAGGCCUUCCAAGCCUAUGAUCCGGGUUCAAAUCCCGGCGACCGCA